This 255-nucleotide ribosomal RNA is filed under the name uncultured bacterium. Its description in RNAcentral is "partial 16S ribosomal RNA". It matches the Rfam family "Bacterial small subunit ribosomal RNA", at positions 524 to 776 of the family's 1533-position model. The record is from RNAcentral.
UACGAAGGGUGCAAGCGUUACUCGGAAUUACUGGGCGUAAAGCGUGCGUUAGGUGGUUGUUAAGUCUGUUGUGAAAGCCCCGGGCUCAACCUGGGAAUGGCAAUGGAUAUUGGCAAGCUAGAGUGCGGUAGAGGGUAGUGGAAUUCCCGGUGUAGCGGUGAAAUGCGUAGAGAUCGGGAGGAACACCAGGUGGCGAAGGCGGCUACCUGGACCAGCACUGACCACUGAGGCACGAAAGCGUGGGGAGCAAACAGG